AUGGUGGUGGAACAGAGUGGAGCUGAGGAACAUGGUGGUGGAACAGAGUGGAGCUGAGGAACAUGGUGGUGGAACAGUGAGUGGAGCUGAGGAACAUGGUGGUGGAACAGUGAGUGGAGCUGAGUAUCACUAAGACUGAACUGCAGUUCUACAAGAACAAGGUGGAGGAACUGGAGAGACAGAACACAGAAUUUCAGGCCAGAGUGAGAGCCAGGUAGAGGAGCUGAAGACAAAGAAUGCAGGUGUCUUCAGUGCUCCAGUGAGAGGAAUACAUGGACUUUGGUUUGUUCAAGUAUGACCAGGGUGGAAUGGAAUGGACAGUACAAUAGUCACGGAAGGUGACAGUAUCUCUCCAAUUCUGGGACUCUUGAACUGAAGGAGGGGGGUCUUGGUUUACAUGAGUCUCUUAUCAGGCUAAAGGAUCUAUGAUGAUUCUAAUAAACACAGCUCCUUCAGUGACUUCCUGCUCUUUCCUAUGUGAGAUGAACACCACAAAAGCUGUAAUAAAAAGUCCAAUCUGUUAUAACAUUCCAUGAAACAUUAUGACGGUAAAAUAAAAUGACUUAACGUCUUCUGUUCUGUUGACGUUUGACUGUAUUUACUAUGAUAUAGAUGAAUGUUCAGCUCAGUAGUUUGGGUGGAAGGCAAAGGGCCAGCGUUGGGGGUUAAAGUGGUAAUAUAUUUAUUGUAUGUAACUACAGACAAAAUUAAAUAACAGUUCAGAUCAACAGUCAGUUUAACUAAUCAUUUCAAGCAGAAAUUGAUCAAUUACGAUGCUAAAGUGAAUGUUUAAGUGAUAAAUCACAUCCACUUCAUUCUUUCUCUGCUUAAUGAUAACACUAGCAGCCCAUUUAGCCUAUUAAAGCUAUACUGCUCCCAUAUUGAUCUGUUACACCUAUCCAUCUACUAACCGACAUACAGGCCAGGUCAGUAUCACCUAACACAGACGGCAAACUUUAAAGGUACAAUCCUGAGUUUGUGUCAGCCCAACAGCAGCCCACCCACUUGGUUUGGUGUAAAGCUUAGAGAUGGGUCUAGUCGUGCUUGGUAACAUUAUUCCUAAAAAAGUUUCAGAAGUUGCACCUGUGCUUGUAGUGAAGAGAUGCACUACAUGGCAGUUUGGAACUCAGUAGGGAAUGUUGAAACUGAGGGCAGACACUUUUUACGCGCUACACCCUUCAGCACUCGGCAGUCCCGUUCUGUGAGCUUGUGUGGCCUGCCACUUUGUGGCUGAGCUGUUGUUGCUCCUAGACGUUUCCACUUCACAAUAACAGCACAAUAACAGUUGACCGGGGCGGCUCUAGCAGGGCAGAAAUUUGACAAACUGACUUGUUGGAAAGGUAGCAUCCUAUGACGGUGCCACGUUGAAAGCAGUUCUUUGUGUAGGUGAAGAAUAUAAAUGACAUUUAUAUAAAUAUAAAUGUGUAGAUGUUUAAGUUCCUCCCUGGUAUAUCCGGAGAGUUAACUUCCUUGUAAUUGCUUGAAUAAAAUCUUAACUUGAAAAUGA
This is a long non-coding RNA of Oncorhynchus tshawytscha (Chinook salmon), 1507 nucleotides long. RefSeq lists it as uncharacterized. Lineage: Eukaryota; Metazoa; Chordata; Actinopteri; Salmoniformes; Salmonidae. The transcript is spliced from 3 exons. The record is from RefSeq and is a predicted model, not a curated record.